UACGGGAGGCAGCAGUGGGGAAUAUUGCACAAUGGGCGCAAGCCUGAUGCAGCCAUGCCGCGUGUAUGAAAAGGCCUUCGGGUUGUAAAGUACUUUCAGUCGUGAGGAAGGUGUUAAGGUUAAUAACCUUAGCAAUUGACGUUAGCGACAGAAGAAGCACCGGCUAACUCCGUGCCAGCAGCCGCGGUAAUACGGAGGGUGCGAGCGUUAAUCGGAAUUACUGGGCGUAAAGGGCACGCAGGCGGUUAAUUAAGUUGGAUGUGAAAUCCCCGGGCUUAACCUGGGAAUGGCAUUCAAGACUGGUUAGCUAGAGUCUUGUAGAGGGGGUAGAAUUCCAUGUGUAGCGGUGAAAUGCGUAGAGAUGUGGAGGAAUACCGGUGGCGAAGGCGGCCCCCUGGGACAAAGACUGACGCUCAUGUGCGAAAGCGUGGGGAGCAAACAGGGAUUAGAUACCC
Molecule: ribosomal RNA, 455 nt
Filed under: uncultured bacterium
Lineage: Bacteria
Description: bacterial SSU rRNA
Rfam family: Bacterial small subunit ribosomal RNA
Source: RNAcentral